GCCGGGUGUGGUGGCUCACACCUGUAAUCCCAGCACUUUGGGAGGCCGAGGUGGGUGGAUCACCUGAGGCCAGGAGUUCGAGACCAGCCUGGCCAACAUGGCGAAACCCCAUCUCUA
RNAcentral lists this non-coding RNA (117 nucleotides) under Gorilla gorilla gorilla (western lowland gorilla). The record is from Rfam by way of RNAcentral. Lineage: Eukaryota; Metazoa; Chordata; Mammalia; Primates; Hominidae.